UGCUUCAUUUAUGACAAAAAACAAAUUCAUGACAGUUCUGUAUAUUAGAGGUGGCAUCUUUUGCUGGGGGCAAAGUCCGAGCAUAGCUCCACGUCUGAGCCAGACCUGCCGGGGGCUGCUGCCAGAGCCCGGCCCGGCCGCCUUCGCCAUCCCCCCUUUGAUAGAUGUGCUAUCGUCAGAAACAAUCUGGUGCUUCCCUCGGAGGAGGUCUUCGGCAGAGGCAGAAGGACACCUGGCAGGAGCUUUUUCUGGAGGCUUCUAUGGAACUGCCUGUGGCAAUUGUAAAACAUCUGUGGCCCCACAUAUACUAGCACCAGAGCUGAAAGUGAAUCUGUUAGUGUCAGGGCUAACCACGAACACUUUUAGCCCCUGGAGAUCCAAAACAUUCUUAGCCACAAAAGAAACACAAGGUGUGAGAGCAACUGGGACCAGCUACAAGAAAUCACAAAAGGAUUCGAGGCAAGACGUGAUGGUUUUAUUCAUCCCCACUGUCAAGAGGCAGAUCACAGACUUUGUGAUUCACCAUAAAGAGCCCUGCCCUUCUUGGGGUGAAUUUUCUGAUUUCCGACUGUCAUGUGUGCUACGCCCCGGGGAAGGUCAAUCAGCAGGCAGAAACUGCUAGGCAACCACAGCUGGUCCUUAGCACACAAUCGACUGAUAGGAGCCGUUAGACAGCAUCCAUAUGGCGUUUGAAUGAGACAUCCCUCCACCCGCACUGGGAGAGAGAUUGCUUCUGAAGACCCUCCCCGGACCACAGAGUGGAAUUGAAACCUUAAAUAAUUCAGUGCCGUGAUUAUUUUUCUCACUUCUGUUCAGUUAUUUACAUGUUAUUACUCAUGACACAACAUUUAUGAUCCCUCUGAAAUCCCAAUUAAGAAUUGUGAUAAGAAAUUACCAUGUGCCAGUGCUGCCGAUUUGUCUUUCCUUGCACAAGUAGCUGUAUUUUAAUGACCUAGACAAUAUGCAUAUGUAACAUGGUCUACUUAUAAGUGAAAUCAAACACAAGCCCAAAUGCAGGCCAGUGCUGCCAGCAGGUUACAGUGAUUCUCUCAGCUUUGAAGGGGAUCUGGAAGGAGGAGCUUAGUUUUACCAUUUGCUGGUUCUGUGCUAUCCUUGGGGGCAUGAUAAAUGGCUAAGCAUCGUGUUAUGAUAUAACAACACAAAUAUAAUUUAAUAACUUGGGUGUCAAAUGGCUAAGAUUUAUGGUCAAGGAGGCUAAAUGUUCACAAGAAAUUGCUCCAGAGAUGCAGUCCUAUUGGAUUAAGAGAGAAAAAACUGGCAAACUCAACAUUUUAGACAACGCAUCUCUGUGUGGCUGGAGGCUUUGGAUGGCUUUUUUGCACUGUAUUAAUAUUUCCUUGUUGCAUUUCCAGAAACUCUCUUUCUAAUUAUAGUUUCCUGGGUUCACUCCGUGCAAAUUAAAAGCACAUUACUAUUUGGUAACUGCAGCGUAUGAAUCGUGUGCUGCUGCCUAAACAACAGGCUGCGGAGCGGGCCAGAUGUGGCCCCUUUCAUCUUCGUGUCACUGCAAAUGUUUGGAUGAGCAGCUUGCUCUGGGUCUCUGACUUACAUGAAGAUCCAAUCUACGAUGAGUGGGCAGAUGCUUUUUAUUUUCCAGCAAAAAAAAUAAUGAAGUAAGCUUUCUAAUGUCUUCCCAAGUCAGUAAGCUGCAGGUGGGGGGAAGCCAAAUGAGGAUUUGUGAGGCACCAGCAAACCGACUGGAGCAUCGCAUGCCACGGGUCUGAUCAAGGGGCAAGGUCCCUCCCAGUUGCAGCAGCUGGAGUAGCCCCAACCUUUGAAAAAUAAACUGUAGCUCAUAAGAAAGAGACCCUUCGCU
Molecule: long non-coding RNA, 1837 nt
Filed under: Calidris pugnax (ruff)
Lineage: Eukaryota; Metazoa; Chordata; Aves; Charadriiformes; Scolopacidae
Description: lncRNA (ENSCPUG00000010853.1)
Source: RNAcentral